Molecule: ribosomal RNA, 440 nt
Filed under: uncultured bacterium
Lineage: Bacteria
Description: partial 16S ribosomal RNA
Rfam family: Bacterial small subunit ribosomal RNA
Source: RNAcentral
CCUACGGGUGGCAGCAGUGGGGAAUAUUGCACAAUGGGGGAAACCCUGAUGCAGCGACGCCGCGUGAGUGAAGAAGUCUUUCGGUAUGUAACGCUCUAUCAGCAGGGAAGAAAAUGACGGUACCUGAUUAAGAAGCCCCGGCUAACACCGUGCAAGCAGCCGCGGGAAUACGUAGGGGGCAAGCGUUCUCCGGAUUGACUGGGUGUAACGGGAGCGGAGACGGCAGCACUAGGCUGGAGUGCAAUGCCGGGGCUUAACCCCGGAACUGCUUUGGAAACUGGGCGGCUACAGUGCAGGAGAGGUCAGUGGAAUUCCUAGUGUCGCGGUGACAUGCGUAGAUAUUUGGAGGAACACCAGUGGCGAAGGCGGCUCACUGGACUGUAACUGACGUUGAGGCUCGAAAGCGUGGGGAGCAAACAGGAUUAGAUACCCCGGUAGUC